UCUGGGAUUAGAUACCCCACUAUAUAUUUCCUAAAAAUAACCAAAACCAGAGUAGUAUAAAAAAUAAUUGAAACUUAAAGGUCUUGGCGGUUUUCUAUACCUAUUUGGAGGAGCUUGUUAUCUAAACGAUAAUCCACGAGUUACCUUACCAAUCUUUGAUCAACAGUUUGUAUACCAUCGUCAUCAAUUUUCUUCAUAAGAAUGAAAGUGAAAUGAUUCCAACUCACUAUGUCAGAUCUAGGUGCAACCUAUAAAUUGGUAACUAAUGAGCUACUUUAUUUUAUAAUUGUGAAUAUAAUUAUGAAAAAUUUCUUGAAACCGAAUUCAAUAGUAAAUAUAUAAAGAGAAAUAUAUUGAAAAUAGCCCUAGAAAAUGUACAUACCGCCCGUCACCCUCCUCAA
RNAcentral lists this ribosomal RNA (401 nucleotides) under Echinocucumis hispida. Its description in RNAcentral is "partial 12S ribosomal RNA". Lineage: Eukaryota; Metazoa; Echinodermata; Holothuroidea; Dendrochirotida; Ypsilothuriidae. The record is from RNAcentral.